This 292-nucleotide ribosomal RNA is filed under the name uncultured bacterium. RNAcentral's name for it is "partial 16S ribosomal RNA". It matches the Rfam family "Bacterial small subunit ribosomal RNA", at positions 505 to 796 of the family's 1533-position model. The record is from RNAcentral.
GUGCCAGCCGCCGCGGUAAUACGGAGGGUGCAAGCGUUAAUCGGAAUUACUGGGCGUAAAGCGCACGUAGGUGGUUUGUUAAGCCAGCUGUGAAAUCCCCGGGCUCAACCUGGGAAUUGCAGUUGGAACUGGCAAGCUAGAGUAGGGUAGAGGGGUGUGGAAUUUCAGGUGUAGCGGUGAAAUGCGUAGAUAUCUGAAGGAACAUCAGUGGCGAAGGCGACACCCUGGACUCAUACUGACACUGAGGUGCGAAAGCGUGGGGAGCAAACAGGAUUAGAUACCCGGGUAGUCC